AAUACUUAGGAAUCUACCUAUUAAUGGGGGACAACAUUUCGAAAGGAAUGCUAAUACCGCAUACGCCCUACGGGGGAAAGCAGGGGAUCUUCGGACCUUGCGUUAAUAGAUGAGCCUAAGUCGGAUUAGCUAGUUGGUGGGGUAAAGGCCUACCAAGGCGACGAUCUGUAGCGGGUCUGAGAGGAUGAUCCGCCACACUGGGACUGAGACACGGCCCAGACUCCUACGGGAGGCAGCAGUGGGGAAUAUUGGACAAUGGGGGGAACCCUGAUCCAGCCAUGCCGCGUGUGUGAAGAAGGCCUUUUGGUUGUAAAGCACUUUAAGCGAGGAGGAGGCUACUCUAGUUAAUACCUAGAGCUAGUGGACGUUACUCGCAGAAUAAGCACCGGCUAACUCUGUGCCAGCAGCCGCGGUAAUACAGAGGGUGCGAGCGUUAAUCGGAUUUACUGGGCGUAAAGCGUGCGUAGGUGGCCUUUUAAGUCAAAUGUGAAAUCCCCGAGCUUAACUUGGGAAUUGCAUUCGAUACUGGAAGGCUAGAGUAUGGGAGAGGAUGGUAGAAUUCCAGGUGUAGCGGUGAAAUGCGUAGAGAUCUGGAGG
This 597-nucleotide ribosomal RNA is filed under the name uncultured bacterium. Its description in RNAcentral is "bacterial SSU rRNA". It matches the Rfam family "Bacterial small subunit ribosomal RNA", at positions 112 to 704 of the family's 1533-position model. The record is from RNAcentral.